Molecule: ribosomal RNA, 500 nt
Filed under: uncultured bacterium
Lineage: Bacteria
Description: partial 16S ribosomal RNA
Rfam family: Bacterial small subunit ribosomal RNA
Source: RNAcentral
AUUGAACGCUGGCGGCAUGCCUUACACAUGCAAGUCGAACGGUAACGGGUCCUUCGGGAUGCCGACGAGUGGCGAACGGGUGAGUAAUAUAUCGGAACGUGCCCAGUAGUGGGGGAUAACUGCUCGAAAGAGCAGCUAAUACCGCAUACGACCUGAGGGGGAAAGGGGGGGAUCGCAAGACCUCUCGCAAUUGGAGCGGCCGAUCUCGGAUUAGCUAGGUGGUGGGGUAAAGGCCUACCAAGGCAACGAUCUGUAGUUGGUCUGAGAGGACGACCAGCCACACUGGGACUGAGACACGGCCCAGACUCCUACGGGAGGCAGCAGUGGGGAAUUUUGAACAAUGGGCGCAAGCCUGAUCCAGCAAUGCCGCGUGCAGGAAGAAGGCCUUCGGGUUGUAAACUGCUUUUGUCAGGGAAGAAAUCUUCUGGGCUAAUACCCCGGGAGGAUGACGGUACCUGAAGAAUAAGCACCGGCUAACUACAUGCCAGCAGCCGCCGUAA